Capra hircus (goat) is the source of this 1753-nucleotide long non-coding RNA. RefSeq annotates it as HLA class II histocompatibility antigen, DRB1-4 beta chain. Lineage: Eukaryota; Metazoa; Chordata; Mammalia; Artiodactyla; Bovidae. The transcript is spliced from 6 exons. The record is from RefSeq and is marked validated.
UGAGAAGUGGGUGAAGGGGGUCACAGUACCCAUUUGAGAGGGACUUGCCUGCUCCUCUCACUCUCUAUCCUCUGCUGUUCUCCAGCAUGGUGUGCCUGUAUUUCUCCAGAGGCUCCCGGAUGGCAGCUCUGAUAGUGAUGCUGAUGGCGCUGAGCCCUCCCCUGGCCUGGGCCAGGAAGAUCCAACCACAUUUCCUGGAGUAUACUAAGAAAGAGUGUCAUUUCUCCAACGGGACGGAGCGGGUGCGGUUCCUGGACAGAUACUUCCAUAAUGGAGAAGAGUUCGUGCGCUUCGACAGCGACUGGGGCGAGUACCGGGCGGUGGCCGAGCUGGGGCGGCCGGACGCCAAGUACUGGAACAGCCAGAAGGAGAUUCUGGAGCGGAAGCGGGCCGCCGUGGACACGUACUGCAGACACAACUACGGGGUCGGUGAGAGUUUCACUGUGCAGCGGCGAGUGGAGCCUAUAGUGACUGUGUAUCCUGCAAAGACCCAGCCCCUGCAGCACCACAACCUCCUGGUCUGCUCUGUGAAUGGAUUCUACCCAGGCCACAUUGAAGUCAGGUGGUUCCGGAACAGCCAUGAAGAGGAGGCUGGGGUGAUCUCCACAGGCCUGAUCCAGAAUGGAGACUGGACCUUCCAGACCAUGGUGAUGCUUGAAACAGUUCCUCAGAGUGGAGAGGUCUACACCUGCCAAGUGGAGCACCCCAGCCGGACGAGCCCUAUCACAGUAGAAUGGAGGGCACGGUCUGACUCAGCUCAGAGCAAGAUGAUGAGUGGAGUCGGGGGCUUCGUGCUGGGUCUGCUCUUCCUUGCGGUGGGGCUCUUCAUCUACUUCAGGAAUCAGAAAGGACGCCCUACCCUUCAGCCAACAGGGCUCCUGAGCUGAAGUGAAGAUGGUCACACUCAAGGAAGAACCUUCUGUCCCAGCUUCUUCACAGCAUGGAAAGGUUUCCUGCUUAGCGCUGACUCUUCCACAAUGAAGUACUUUCUCAGGAUCUCAUUUGCUCCUGGCUCAGUGACCCUGUAGAAACUGUCCUCGAUGGCUUUCUCAGUCACCCCCACCCCCCUGCCCUCAGCCUUUGACCUGGAAGUUCUCAGUAUUGAUACCAGUACCUUAUGUUCUUUCUUCCUUCGUUCCCUUUGUUUGCAACUUCUGUUUGCUGUGCAUCUGAGCUCAUCUGUUCAUUUUACUUUAUAACGUGUUCCCUCAAAUAAAUACGGAGUGAAAAUCAUCUGCUUCAUACAUCUUCAAAAAGAGAAGUCAAAGAAAAGAUAAAGGGAAAAUUACAUCACACAGCAAUAACGUUUUUAUUUAUAUUCCUGAAUUUUGGUCACCUGUGGAUCUAGAAAGUUUCCUUUCUUCCUUUAUUUUUCUCUUGGGUUUUCUGCAUUCUGUUAUUAGACAUGUUUUCCUGAGCUAGCCCUUAAUGAACCCAUUUUCCUGAGAAAGCCCUUAAAGAACCCAUUUAAUGAUGGUCCUCUACAUCUCUGCAUUUUCAAAGACAAGUCCUUUACACUAUUGGAUACAGAAUUGGGACGACGAAUGUAAGAAAUGCAGGUAACUUGUAAGGAUGUGCUGCCCUCAACAUUUUUGUAAUCAUGCUCUUUUUGUCUCUUUUUCACUGAUUUUUUAAAAAGAAAGUAUAUAAACUAGGGUACUUGAACUAUGUUUUUUUUUUUUGGUUAUACUGAUAGUGAGCUAUAAUACUUCAAUAUUUUUCUGUCUCUCCAAUAAACAUAAUUGAUGUGCUA